UGGGGAAUUUUGGACAAUGGGCGAAAGCCUGAUCCAGCCAUGCCGCGUGAGUGAAGAAGGCCUUCGGGUUGUAAAGCUCUUUUAGUCGGAAAGAAAGAGUUGCAAUGAAUAAUUGUGAUUUAUGACGGUACCGACAGAAAAAGCACCGGCUAACUACGUGCCAGCAGCCGCGGUAAUACGUAGGGUGCGAGCGUUAAUCGGAAUUACUGGGCGUAAAGGGUGCGCAGGCGGUCUUGCAAGGCAGAUGUGAAAGCCCCGGGCUUAACCUGGGAAUUGCGUUUGAAACUACAAGGCUAGAGUGCAGCAGAGGGGAGUGGAAUUCCAUGUGUAGCAGUGAAAUGCGUAGAGAUGUGGAAGAACACCGAUGGCGAAGGCAGCUCCCUGGGUUGACACUGACGCUCAUGCACGAAAGCGUGGGGAGCAAACA
Molecule: ribosomal RNA, 427 nt
Filed under: uncultured bacterium
Lineage: Bacteria
Description: bacterial SSU rRNA
Rfam family: Bacterial small subunit ribosomal RNA
Source: RNAcentral